RNAcentral lists this unclassified non-coding RNA (1192 nucleotides) under Hevea brasiliensis (rubber tree). Lineage: Eukaryota; Viridiplantae; Streptophyta; Magnoliopsida; Malpighiales; Euphorbiaceae. The record is from RNAcentral.
UGGGUCCGUCCAAGAACCACAAAGCGGAAGAUUACAGUUCGAAGAAGCGAACGAUCACCUAAUCUAAUGAUUAAACGAUUUCAACGAACUCUGAUCAUCGCCGUUAUGUUAGCGUUACCGGUUGAGGCACAGAAGCAGUAAGUCUAUAGAUUUGAGGUUCUGUCUGCAUAAAGUUUGUCUUGAAGAAAAAAAAAUAGUCAAGGUUGUACUUCAUGGCCAGGAUAAAACCUCAGGCUUUGCUACUCCAAAGCAAAAAGAAGAAGGGGCCAACUCGUAUCAGUGCCACUACAAUAAUUCUGUGCAACCUAGUUGUUAUGUUGCUUGUAUUGUCCUUGGUUGCUACAUACAGGCAUUGGUCUCAGAGGUCUACGGAACAAACAGGACUAUCAAAUUUUGAGGACACUUCGGAUAUCUUAACAGAUUCAAAGAAGUAUGAUCUUCCGGGUUAUGCUGUUUUGAAUACAUCAAAGGGUUAUAUUACAGUAGAACUGUACAAAGAUGGUUCUCCUGAGAUUGUGGACAAAUUUCUCGACUCAUGUCAAAAGGGCUACUUCAAAGGGAUGCCUUUUCAUCAUGUGAUCAAACAUUAUGUAAUUCAAGGAGGGCAUUCCCAAGGUCUUGGAGGUACAGAAGAUUGGACUACAAAAGUGAAGCUUCGUAGUCGGCUUGCUACAAGCCCAAAGCAUGAGGCAUUUAUGCUUGGAACUUUGAAAACUAAAGACAGCCAAGGGUUUGAGAUAUUUAUUACCACUGCACCAAUUCCAGAUUUAAGUGAUAAGCUUAUGGUGUUUGGACGGGUCAUCAAGGGAGAGGAUGUAGUGCAGGAAAUCGAGGAGGUGGACACAGAUGAACACUAUCGGCCCAAAUCCCCUAUAGGGAUCAUCAAUGUGACUCUGAAAAGUGAAAUUUGAGUGCUAUUACUACUUGGUGUAAAUUUUUCCUAUGGGUAGUGAUAACACUCUGUGAUGCCGCAUGCUGGAGAUUUCUCUCCAAGGUUGUUCAUGUGCUACAUUUUUCUUCAUACUUGCAUUUCCACUUAUCCACUCCAGUCUUUUUUGGGGUGGGGGUUUUGGAGUUUACGGGGGCUGAAUUGUUUUGGGAAGUAAAGGACCUUCAUAUUUUUGUGUAGGCAAAUACAACAUUCUGUUUAAUUCCAGUGAAGAUCUGUUGUGACCCCCUCUGCUAUUGUUGU